This 1048-nucleotide non-coding RNA is filed under the name Trichomonas vaginalis G3. RNAcentral's name for it is "Eukaryotic large subunit ribosomal RNA". It matches the Rfam family "Eukaryotic large subunit ribosomal RNA", at positions 1247 to 2493 of the family's 3401-position model. The record is from Rfam by way of RNAcentral. Lineage: Eukaryota; Parabasalia; Trichomonadida; Trichomonadidae.
GGUGCCCCUAAAAGCAGGUAUCCGCUAAAGAGUGUGUUAAAACUCACCUGCCGAAUACUAGGGCCCCGAAAAUGAAUGGCGCAUAUAGUACUACCGAUCUCAGACAUCAGUUCUAUUGAACUGAGAGUAGGGGGAUGUGGACAUUUUUGUGAAGGUGCAAUGUGAGUUGGACUGGAAGAAUGUCUAUUACAGAUCCUAAUUGAAGUAGCGAUUAUCCAGGCUUGUAUCCUGGGGGCUGAUGAGGAGUAGGGUUUCUGGACAACUUAAACAGAUCCAGAGUUAGUCGAUCCUAAUCUCAAUAAUGGGAGAAAGGGAGUACAGUUGAUAUUCUGUAACUGACAACAGUUCGCGGCAACGCAUACUAUUUUUCUCCGCCAAUCUUAUACCGUUGGUAGGGAUCUCUUUCCUACAUGACAGUACUAAUACCCAGGGAAACUGGUCAUCAGGCGAACUGCGGCGUUCUGCUGGCAAAACAUAGCUUCGGUUAUGUCAAUGGCUAUUGGAUUGGUCCAUGAAGCGAAAAAUAGUUUACUGUGUCACUCGUACCGAUAACCGCAUCAGGUCUUCUAGGUAAGUAGCCUAUGGCCAUUGAGGCAUGAUAGUUCAGGGAAUUCGGCCAAUUAGAGCUGUAACUUCGGGAUAAAGCUUGGCUCUGAUGAAAAUCAGAACCGAUUGUUACGCGGAGAGCCCAACUGUUUAAUAAAAACGUAGUGUCGCGCUGUGGUAGUAUAGCCAGUGAACGCGACAUGAAUCCUGCUCAGUGCUGUGUCUGUUAAUAUGGUUCAAGCCAACGAAGCACCGGUAAAUAGCUGGGGUAACUAUGACUCUUAUCAAAGUAGCGAAAUACCUCGUCACUUAAUUAGUGACCUGCAUGAACGGAGCUAUGAGGUUCUCACUGUCCCAAACUGUCUCUCAGCGAACCAACUGUAGUGGGAACGGUCACUAGAUAUCCAGCGGGGAAAGAGACCCUGUAGAGCUUCACUUUGGUCUAGUCUUGUAUAGUUCCUGCGGGGGUGUAGACUAGGUGGGAGAGCAAUCGAUUUCUGAA